RNAcentral lists this transfer RNA (73 nucleotides) under Lachnospiraceae bacterium. RNAcentral describes it as "tRNA-Thr". It matches the Rfam family "tRNA". From Rfam's summary of the family: Transfer RNA (tRNA) molecules are approximately 80 nucleotides in length. The record is from RNAcentral. Lineage: Bacteria; Bacillati; Bacillota; Clostridia; Lachnospirales; Lachnospiraceae.
GCUUCGAUAGCUCAGUUGGUAGAGCACUUCACUCGUAAUGAAGGGGUAAGCGGUUCGAAUCCGCUCUGGAGCU